RNAcentral lists this ribosomal RNA (97 nucleotides) under Caenorhabditis briggsae. RNAcentral describes it as "partial 28S ribosomal RNA". It matches the Rfam family "Eukaryotic large subunit ribosomal RNA", at positions 1 to 98 of the family's 3401-position model. Lineage: Eukaryota; Metazoa; Nematoda; Chromadorea; Rhabditida; Rhabditidae. The record is from RNAcentral.
AACCUGAACUCAGUCGUGAUUACCCGCUGAACUUAAGCAUAUCAUUUAGCGGAGGAAAAGAAACUAAAAAGGAUUCCCUUAGUAACGGCGAGUGAAA